GAUGAACGCUGGCGGCGUGCCUAAUACAUGCAAGUCGAGCGAACAGACGAGGAGCUUGCUCCUCUGACGUUAGCGGCGGACGGGUGAGUAACACGUGGAUAACCUACCUAUAAGACUGGGAUAACUUCGGGAAACCGGAGCUAAUACCGGAUAAUAUAUUGAACCUCAUUGUUCAAUAGUGAAAGACGGUUUUGCUGUCACUUAUAGAUGGAUCCGCGCCGCAUUAGCUAGUUGGUAAGGUAACGGCUUACCAAGGCGACGAUGCGUAGCCGACCUGAGAGGGUGAUCGGCCACACUGGAACUGAGACACGGUCCAGACUCCUACGGGAGGCAGCAGUAGGGAAUCUUACGCGAUGGGCGAAAGCCUGACGGAGCAACGCCGCGUGAGUGAUGAAGGUCUUCGGAUCGUAAAACUCUGUUAUUAGGGAAGAACAAAUGUGUAAGUAACUAUGCACGUCUUGACGGUACCUAAUCAGAAAGCCACGGCUAACUACGUG
RNAcentral lists this ribosomal RNA (497 nucleotides) under uncultured bacterium. RNAcentral describes it as "partial 16S ribosomal RNA". It matches the Rfam family "Bacterial small subunit ribosomal RNA", at positions 28 to 507 of the family's 1533-position model. The record is from RNAcentral.